RNAcentral lists this ribosomal RNA (1622 nucleotides) under Candidatus Nitricoxidireducens bremensis. RNAcentral describes it as "partial 23S ribosomal RNA". It matches the Rfam family "Bacterial large subunit ribosomal RNA", at positions 457 to 1973 of the family's 2925-position model. The record is from RNAcentral. Lineage: Bacteria; Pseudomonadati; Pseudomonadota; Betaproteobacteria; Nitrosomonadales; Sterolibacteriaceae.
CCUCCAAGGCUAAAUACUCGUAAUCGACCGAUAGUGAACCAGUACCGUGAGGGAAAGGCGAAAAGAACCCCGGGAGGGGAGUGAAAUAGAUCCUGAAACCGCAUGCAUACAAACAGUGGGAGCCCCUCCUUUAAUGGCCUUCGAGGGCUUUGACAUCGACGCGUAGCGACGGCGGCAAAAGUUCGAAGGGAGGAGUGAAAUGGACCUCUUGGCAGUUCGGAGAGAGGGCCAUUAAAGGAGGGGUGACUGCGUACCUUUUGUAUAAUGGGUCAGCGACUUACGUUCUGUAGCGAGCUUAACCGAAUAGGGGAGGCGUAGCGAAAGCGAGUCUGAUAAGGGCGCUUUAGUUGCAGGGCGUAGACCCGAAACCAGAUGAUCUACCCAUGGCCAGGAUGAAGGUGCCGUAACAGGUACUGGAGGUCCGAACCCACUAAUGUUGAAAAAUUAGGGGAUGAGCUGUGGGUAGGGGUGAAAGGCUAAACAAAUCUGGAAAUAGCUGGUUCUCCCCGAAAGCUAUUUAGGUAGCGCCUCAGGUAUCACUCGCGGGGGUAGAGCACUGUAAUGGUUGGAGGGGUCAUUGCGAUCUACUCCGCCAUAGCAAACUCCGAAUACCGCGAAGUGCGAGCCUGGGAGACAGACGGUGGGUGCUAACGUCCAUCGUCAAGAGGGAAACAACCCAGACCGCCAGCUAAGGUCCCCAAGCCAUGGUUAAGUGGAAAACGAAGUGGGAAGGCAUAGACAGUCAGGAAGUUGGCUUAGAAGCAGCCAUCCUUCAAAGAAAGCGUAAUAGCUCACUGAUCGAGUCGUCCUGCGCGGAAGAUGUAACGGGGCUCAAACCAUGCACCGAAGCUGCGGAUGUGCGUAAGCACAUGGUAGGGGAGCGUUCUGUAGGUCUGCGAAGGUGAGGGGUAACCCUUGCUGGAGAUAUCAGAAGUGCGAAUGCUGACAUGAGUAGCGAUAAAGCGUGUGAAAAGCACGCUCGCCGAAAGCCCAAGGUUUCCUGCGCAACGUUCAUCGGCGCAGGGUGAGUCGGCCCCUAAGGCGAGGCCGAAAGGCGUAGUCGAUGGGAAACGGGUCAAUAUUCCCGUACCGAUCUGUAAUGCGAUGGGGGGACGGAGAAGGUUAGCUCAGCCGGGUGUUGGACGUCCCGGUUUAAGCGUGUAGGCGUGCUGCAUAGGCAAAUCCGUGCGGCUUAGUCGAGGCGUGAUGACGAGGACCUUCGGGUCUGAAGUGAGUGAUACCCUGCUUCCAGGAAAAGCCUCUAAGCUUCAGUUACAGAUUGACCGUACCGCAAACCGACACAGGUGGGCAGGAUGAAAAUUCUAAGGCGCUUGAGAGAACUCAGGAGAAGGAACUCGGCAAAUUGAUACCGUAACUUCGGGAGAAGGUAUGCCUCGGUAGCGUGAAGCCCCUCGCGGGUGGAGCGUGAUGAGGUCGCAGAGAAUCGGUGGCUGCAACUGUUUAAUAAAAACACAGCACUCUGCAAAGGCGAAAGCCGACGUAUAGGGUGUGACGCCUGCCCGGUGCCGGAAGGUUAAGUGAUGGGGUGCAAGCUCUUGAUCGAAGCCCCGGUAAACGGCGGCCGUAACUAUAACGGUCCUAAGGUAGCGAAAUUCCUUGUC